Molecule: ribosomal RNA, 815 nt
Filed under: Phaeosphaeriaceae sp.
Lineage: Eukaryota; Fungi; Ascomycota; Dothideomycetes; Pleosporales; Phaeosphaeriaceae
Description: partial large subunit ribosomal RNA
Rfam family: Eukaryotic large subunit ribosomal RNA
Source: RNAcentral
GGAUUGCCCUAGUAACGGCGAGUGAAGCGGCAACAGCUCAAAUUUGAAAUCUGGCUCUUUCAGAGUCCGAGUUGUAAUUUGCAGAGGGCGCUUUGGCGUUGGCAGCGGUCCAAGUUCUUUGGAACAGGACGUCACAGAGGGUGAGAAUCCCGUACGUGGUCGCUAGCCUUCGCCGUGUAAAGCCCCUUCGACGAGUCGAGUUGUUUGGGAAUGCAGCUCUAAAUGGGAGGUAAAUUUCUUCUAAAGCUAAAUACUGGCCAGAGACCGAUAGCGCACAAGUAGAGUGAUCGAAAGAUGAAAAGCACUUUGGAAAGAGAGUCAAAUAGCACGUGAAAUUGUUGAAAGGGAAGCGCUUGCAGCCAGACUUGCCUGUAGUUGCUUAUCUGGACUUUUGUCCGGUGCACUCUUCUGCGGGCAGGCCAGCAUCAGUUUGGGCGGUUGGAUAAAGGUCUCUGUCAUGUACCUCCUUUCGGGGAGGCCUUAUAGGGGAGACGACAUGCAACCAGCCUGGACUGAGGUCCGCGCAUCUGCUAGGAUGCUGGCGUAAUGGCUGUAAGCGGCCCGUCUUGAAACACGGACCAAGGAGUCUAACAUCUAUGCGAGUGUUUGGGUGUCAAGCCCAGACGCGUAAUGAAAGUGAACGGAGGUGGGAACCCUUUGGGUGCACCAUCGACCGAUCCUGAUGUCUUCGGAUGGAUUUGAGUAAGAGCAUGGCUGUUGGGACCCGAAAGAUGGUGAACUAUGCUUGAAUAGGGUGAAGCCAGAGGAAACUCUGGUGGAGGCUCGCAGCGGUUCUGACGUGCAAAUCGAUCGUC